This 796-nucleotide ribosomal RNA is filed under the name uncultured bacterium. RNAcentral describes it as "bacterial SSU rRNA". It matches the Rfam family "Bacterial small subunit ribosomal RNA", at positions 9 to 796 of the family's 1533-position model. The record is from RNAcentral.
GAGUUUGAUCCUGGCUCAGAUUGAACGCUGGCGGAAUGCUUUACACAUGCAAGUCGAACGGCAGCACGGGAGCUUGCUCCUGGUGGCGAGUGGCGAACGGGUGAGUAAUACAUCGGAACAUGCCUAGUCGUGGGGGAUACCGUAGCGAAAGUUACGUUAAUACCGCAUACGUCCUGAGGGAGAAAGCAGGGGAUUCGCAAGAACCUUGCGCGAUUAGAGUGGCCGAUGCCUGAUUAGCUAGUUGGUGAGGUAAUGGCUCACCAAGGCGACGAUCAGUAGCGGGUCUGAGAGGAUGAUCCGCCACACUGGAACUGAGACACGGUCCAGACUCCUACGGGAGGCAGCAGUGGGGAAUUUUGGACAAUGGGGGCAACCCUGAUCCAGCCAUUCCGCGUGAGUGAAGAAGGCCUUCGGGUUGUAAAGCUCUUUCAGCGGGAACGAAACGGUGCGCUCUAACAUAGCGUAUUAAUGACGGUACCCGCAGAAGAAGCACCGGCUAACUACGUGCCAGCAGCCGCGGUAAUACGUAGGGUGAGAGCGUUAAUCGGAAUUACUGGGCGUAAAGCGUGCGCAGGCGGCUUUUUAAGCCAGACGUGAAAUCCCCGGGCUUAACCUGGGAAUGGCGUUUGGAACUGGAAGGCUAGAGUGUGUCAGAGGGGGGUAGAAUUCCACGUGUAGCAGUGAAAUGCGUAGAGAUGUGGAGGAAUACCGAUGGCGAAGGCAGCCCCCUGGGAUAACACUGACGCUCAUGUACGAAAGCGUGGGUAGCAAACAGGAUUAGAUACCCUGGUAGUCG